CUGGUCUUCAGUGUAUCUGCUGAAAAGUCAGCUGAUGGCCUAAUGGGAAUUUCUUUUUAGGUGUAUCCUCUUUGGGAAUCUGUGCUUCCUGGCCUGGAUGUCUGUUCCUGUUCCAGGUCAUUGUUUCCCAAACUACACGUUGAACUCCUAGUGGGACUGAGAAGAUAUUAUGAGUGUUCUUGGUGAUCAGAGCAGAAGAGAUCCAACAGUGCCUGACUCACUGCUUCUGCAGUAAGGAAUGAGGACGUGAGAACUGGUCUGCUUCACAGCUGCUGUGAGGAUGAAGUCAGUGCAUUCUUCCUGGAAGAGCUUUGAGCUGGAGAAUGGUUGAAGGUCACCAUGCUGGAGCCCCAGGAAAUUGAGACCUAGAAGAUUAAAUUACUCAAGUCAUGUAACACUUAAGUGGCAAAUCCAAAAUCCAAACAAAUUUGCAAUUCUCAACAAGGACCUUGGCUGUUUUAUGAAACCUUAAAGAUUUUAUUUGUUCAUUUGUUUGUAUUCUGUGUGUUCCUAUAUUGAGCUAGCUGAUUCUGAGUAAGUUAACCCAUAGAUUAGGAAUUCUGGAUUUGUCUCACCAGUUCUUAGAGAUCUUGGUCAUGUUUUGUUCCUAUGU
Molecule: long non-coding RNA, 613 nt
Organism: Cervus elaphus (red deer)
Lineage: Eukaryota; Metazoa; Chordata; Mammalia; Artiodactyla; Cervidae
Exons: 6
Source: RefSeq, a predicted model, not a curated record